Molecule: ribosomal RNA, 222 nt
Filed under: uncultured bacterium
Lineage: Bacteria
Description: partial 16S ribosomal RNA
Rfam family: Bacterial small subunit ribosomal RNA
Source: RNAcentral
GAUGAACGCUAGCGGCAGGCCUAAUACAUGCAAGCCGAACGGCAAUCCCGACGGCAACGUCGGGACUAGAGUGGCGUAAGGGUGCGUAACACGUAUGGAAUCUACCCGCAACAGGAGGAUAGCUCUCCGAAAGGGGAUUAAUCCUGCAUAGGAUUUAGGGGCGGCAUCGCCUUUAGAUUAAACUUUCUAAGGUUAGGUGGAUGAUCAUGCGCAUGAUUAGUU